CAGCACCUCAAGUGGUCAGGAUGAUUAUUGGGCCUAAAGCAUCCGUAGCCUGCUUUGUUAGUUUUCGGUUAAAUCCAUACGCUCAACGUAUGGGCUGCCGGGAAUACUGCAAAGCUAGGGAGUGGGAGAGGUAGACGGUACUCGGUAGGAAGGGGUAAAAUCCUUUGAUCUAUUGAUGACCACCUGUGGCGAAGGCGGUCUACCAGAACACGUUCGACGGUGAGGGAUGAAAGCUGGGGGAGCAAACCGGAUUAGAUACCCGAGUAGUCC
This 270-nucleotide ribosomal RNA is filed under the name uncultured archaeon. Its description in RNAcentral is "partial 16S ribosomal RNA". It matches the Rfam family "Archaeal small subunit ribosomal RNA", at positions 477 to 747 of the family's 1478-position model. The record is from RNAcentral.